Molecule: long non-coding RNA, 902 nt
Filed under: Androctonus crassicauda
Lineage: Eukaryota; Metazoa; Arthropoda; Arachnida; Scorpiones; Buthidae
Source: RNAcentral
GGGAAAUCUCAUUCUUUAAAAUAUAUAUGUACUUACAGAUGUCCCUUUUCUCAGUUAAAGUUUUGUAAAAAAAAAAAAAAGGAAAAACAUGGAAUUUGAAACAAAUGUAAGGUGUCGCUCUACACCACUUCUAUAAAAAAAAGGGGGGGAAUUUAAUCAGAGUGACGGCUUAGAAGGAAAAACAAUCAAAAGAUUUGUUUACCUUAAAACCCAGCUUGGAGAAUCUUGUCCUCUUCAGUUUAAUAAAGGAAAAUAAAUACAUAAAGAUUAUGACAGGAAAAGAAUCAAGUGACACAUAGACGGUGUGGGAAGAAAGUGAAACAGAGAAUGUAAUAAGAGCAUCGUCUUUCUCUGAGAAAAAAGAAGUCAGUUUGUCACUAGAAUUCAAUGGAGGACACUGAGUUCACCAUCGUAGGCUACCAACUCAUCAGUUUAAUCUCCGCAAGAAAGUUGCUCUGGAGAAAAUGGGCUAGACGUGUCCAAAAGUUGCUCCGGAGAUAGUGUCACUCAAGGGGCUAGAUGUCUCCAGAAAUCACUGGAUAGAUGAUCAGCUAACAUCUUACAUACAUUUGUAGAUCCAUCGCGGCCUUCACUCGAUGGACCUCUACAACUGCAAAAAGUGAUUGAAUAAUAUUCUUAUGAGCUUCUUGUAUAUCCCUCAAAGCCUGAAACCUUCGCUUAGUGGACCUAUUACAAUAGAAGGACCAUCCACAGGGCUACUAAAUUCGAAGUAUCCCAGUGUUUGUGUAAGAACUAAAGACUGUGAUAUCAAAGAAUUAAAGACUGUUAUUACUCAAUUCUGUCUUCGGAGAAUGAUUAAGGCAAAGUGUUUUAACCAGGUAUUUAUCCUCUGCUGUUUUGAGCACUUCAUGUACAGGCACUCUCUCUCAAUAAAGUUUUCA